Bubalus bubalis (water buffalo) is the source of this 1642-nucleotide long non-coding RNA. RefSeq lists it as uncharacterized. Lineage: Eukaryota; Metazoa; Chordata; Mammalia; Artiodactyla; Bovidae. The record is from RefSeq and is a predicted model, not a curated record. The transcript has 3 exons.
CCUCCUAGCCUUCUAAGGACCUCCAUUUGUGCGUGCACAGAACACUGUUAAACGCCCUUUCCCCCUUACCUCCAAUCACAUUUCCCCAUGCCAAAGACCUGCCUGCUUAGCCCAUAAAUACCCCAACCCCCUCACCUUGAGACGGUGAGUGAGGCUUGAUCUCUGGUGUCAUCGCUGGGUUGCCUUGUGAAUAAGCUCUUCCUCCACAGCAAGUCUUGCAAGUGUAUUGGCGUCAGCAUUUGGCUGUCGUGUUGGGCAAACGGAUUUGGUUCGAGAACAGAUUUCUAGAAACAUCAUUCUGGCUCUACUGCAUGAAACAACAUGAAGAGGUCACUUCAUGCAAAACCUUCUUGUUACUGUGGUACUUUUUAAAAAGAAGAAGCAGUCAUGCCUCAUCUCAGUCUUUGCAGAGAUGAUCUUGUGGACUUCUAAAUAUUGAGGGUCAAUUUGUUGAUCUGGAGAAUGUGAAGAAAAGCUAUGCUAGAUAAAGAGGUCACCCAAUCAAAGAUAUGCAAAUACAGAUAUCCAUAAUUCUGUGACCUUUGCUAAGAAAGUGUUAGCUCUUUCUUCUUGAUCCUCAUAGGAUUUGGUUUAUGCUUAUGUUUAGGCUGUAUCACAGGUGAAUUGGUAUUUCUAUUACUUUUAUAAGGUGUGUUUUAGGCAAUAAAUUAUAAGCAAUUUGAGAAAAGGAGCCACGAAAAUCUUUGUAUUUCCUAUAGCACUUCACAAAAUAUGUGUUAUCAGGAGCUUAAUGAUAUUUGUCAAAUAAAAGUAUACAUUUAUCAAGAUAGGAUUACAUUUAUCUAGAUAAAUGUAGCUCAUUCACUGUAGAGGUGAAGAAACUAAGUUUCAAAGAGGCAGUGUCACUUGCCUAGAGAUGUUGUCAGGGAGCCUGAAUACUGGGAGCACUAACUCCUAGUCUUAACACAUUUACCAUCAGCCGCAUCAAUUGGAAUAAGAAGGAUUGCCUUAAUUAGACAUAUGCUUCAAUUAGCUUUUUCUCUGCUUUAUUAUUCUAUUUUUCUGAUUUAGAAAAAAAUCAUGCCAAAUCUGCACUUUCUCAUGAAACAGCCAUUUGAUACACAUGGACUGAAAAUAAAUUGCCUUUCCAAGCAAAUGGGUCUUAGUUACACACUUUUAAAAUGCAAAUAAUGCUUCUUUUUUAGUCUUCAGCCUCUUCUGAUUCCCAGUUAAUGCUAUAUAUUUGCCUUGUAGUACUGCCUUAUGUGCAUCCUGAAAUUUUUACAUGAUCUUUUAUUUUCAUUUCUAAAUAUUUUCUAAUUUUCCUUACAAUUUAUUUGACCCAUGGUAUACUAGAAGAAUAUCUAAUUUCCAAGUAUGUGGUCUUUCCCAGAUAUUUUUCUCCUUUUAAGUUUUAACUUGAUUUCGUUGUGGUAAAAGAACUUAUUUGUGUGACUUAAGCUGUUUAACACUUAUUGCAAGUAUUUUGUGACAGAAUAGGAUGUGGUUUAUUUUGGUAAAUGUUUUCUGUGAAGUUGGAAAAAAUGCAUGUCUAACUAUAUUUUGGAAUAUUCUGUAAAUAUCAGAUACAUUUGGUUGAUUAUAUUAUUCAAAUUUUCAAUGCCCUUACUGAUAUUCUAUUUAAUUAAUUACUGAGAGUGUUAUAUUUAAAUCUUCAAAU